GGUUGGAUAAAAAAACAUUAAAGAGUAAGUCAGUUUUUUUUCCGUAGAAUUUUUUUAAGACUCUGUUAUAUAUUUCUGACUUGUUUUUGCUUUAUAAUCAGGUUUGUUGUGUGUGCACCUGCAUUUGCUAUAGAUAAGCAAGCUCUUGAUGGAUACCGCUGGGAGAAGCGUCCUACGUUUGCUAGUGAGAAUUUCAUUUUAUUUCAGCUAUGUUGUGUAAUAGUUGAUAAAUACGAUAUUUGCAAUGCAGGAGUAAAUGCUGCACAUCAGACUUGUUAUGUGAAUCAGGCAACGCAAGAUGGCAACAGUCAGCCCAUAAUAGAUCAGGCAGGGGCAGAUGAAGAUGGCAACACUAUGGAUCUGGCAGGGGCGGAUGAAGAAGAAGAUGACAACAGUAUGGAUCAGACAGGGGCGGAUGAAGAAGAGAGUGUACCUUCCAAAAGUCUUACCAAAACCGUUAGCAGUACAAUGGAUCAAGAGAAUUUACCUGGCAACAGUCAGCCCCGUUCAGGCAGGGAAUGAAGAUAGCAGUACAAUGGACAGGGAAACAUUCUGCCUGAACGUU
This 565-nucleotide long non-coding RNA is filed under the name Capsicum annuum. RNAcentral's name for it is "long non-coding RNA (CANN_LNC010772)". The record is from RNAcentral. Lineage: Eukaryota; Viridiplantae; Streptophyta; Magnoliopsida; Solanales; Solanaceae.